Molecule: ribosomal RNA, 253 nt
Filed under: uncultured bacterium
Lineage: Bacteria
Description: partial 16S ribosomal RNA
Rfam family: Bacterial small subunit ribosomal RNA
Source: RNAcentral
UACGUAGGGUGCAAGCGUUGUCCGGAAUUACUGGGCGUAAAGGGCUCGUAGGCGGCCAACUAAGUCGGACGUGAAAUCCCUCAGCUUAACUGGGGAACUGCGUCCGAUACUGGAUGGCUUGGAUUUGGGAGAGGGAUGCGGAAUUCCAGGUGUAGCGGUGAAAUGCGUAGAUAUCUGGAGGAACACCGGUGGCGAAGGCGGCAUCCUGGACCAAUAUUGACGCUGAGGAGCGAAAGCCAGGGGAGCAAACGGG